Molecule: long non-coding RNA, 317 nt
Filed under: Sinocyclocheilus anshuiensis
Lineage: Eukaryota; Metazoa; Chordata; Actinopteri; Cypriniformes; Cyprinidae
Description: lncRNA (ENSSANG00000034482.1)
Source: RNAcentral
CUGAAUUAGUUCAUUACAAAAGUCAUGAAUAUAAUAGUGUGCAAAUUACAUUCACUUAAACUUUAGUGCACAGACCGAACCUGCCUGAACCCAGCUGUGUGUCCAUGAAGAGAGACUGGUCAAUGGAUCCUCCACGUAACUUUAAUGAACACACUGAUCUUGGAUUUAGUUUGGUCCAGAUGCAAAGACCAAAGUUAUCUAAUCCCAGCUGUGUGCCCAUGAGGAGUGUCUGGUCAGUGGAUCCACCACAUAACUUAAGUGGACACAAAGAUCCUAUGUUUAGGUAAGCAUACACUAAACCAUUUAUCUUAUGACAU